RNAcentral lists this ribosomal RNA (329 nucleotides) under uncultured eukaryote. RNAcentral describes it as "partial 18S ribosomal RNA". It matches the Rfam family "Eukaryotic small subunit ribosomal RNA", at positions 1470 to 1796 of the family's 1831-position model. The record is from RNAcentral.
CCCUUAGAUGUUCUGGGCCGCACGCGCGCUACACUGAUGCAUUCAACGAGUCUAAAACCUGCUCUGAUAGGGGUGGGUAAUCUUUUGAAUGCGCAUCGUGAUUGGGAUAGAUGAUUGCAAUUUUUCAUCUUCAACGAGGAAUGCCUAGUAAACGCAAGUCAUCAGCUUGCAUUGAUUACGUCCCUGCCCUUUGUACACACCGCCCGUCGCUCCUACCGAUUGAAUGAUCCGAUGAAUAUCAUGGAUUGAGGAUUAUAGCAGGUUCGCCUGUCUUGAUCUUCGAGAAGUGAAGUAAAUCUUAUCAUUUAGAGGAAGGAGAAGUCGUAACA